CGUGUAGGCGGUCAGGUAAGUGGGACGUGAAAUGCCUCGGCUCACCCGAGGAGCGGCGUCCCAUACUGCUUGGCUUGAGUACGGGAGAGGAUGUGGGAAUUCCUGGUGUAGCGGUGAAAUGCGUAGAUAUCAGGAGGAACACCGGUGGCGAAGGCGCACAUCUGGCCCGAUACUGACGCUGAGGCGCGAAAGCUAGGGAGCAAACG
RNAcentral lists this ribosomal RNA (206 nucleotides) under uncultured bacterium. RNAcentral's name for it is "partial 16S ribosomal RNA". It matches the Rfam family "Bacterial small subunit ribosomal RNA", at positions 568 to 774 of the family's 1533-position model. The record is from RNAcentral.